Callithrix jacchus (white-tufted-ear marmoset) is the source of this 1808-nucleotide non-coding RNA. Lineage: Eukaryota; Metazoa; Chordata; Mammalia; Primates; Cebidae. The record is from RefSeq and is a predicted model, not a curated record.
ACCGACACUUACACAGGCGCUCCAGCCUCCUUCUGCCUCCUGGCUCAAAGAUGGCAGCUCUCAAACUCCUCUCCUCCGGGCUUCGGCUCCGUGCCUCUGCCCGCGGAUCCAGGGGAGCCUGGUACAAGGGAUGUGUUUGCUCCUUUUCCACCAGUGCUCAUUGCCAUAACAUACUAAGUUUUAUACAGAUCCAGUGGAAGCUGUAAAAGACAUCGCUGAUGGUGCAACCGUUCUGGUUGGUGGUUUCGGGCUAUGUGGAAUUCCAGAGAAUCUUACAGGUGCUUUACUAAAAACUGGAGUAAAAGGACUAACUGUAGUCAGCAACAAUGCAAGGGUUGACUACUUUGGUUUGGGCCUUUUGCUUCGGUCCAAUCAGAUAAAAGGUAUGGUUUCUUCGUGUGGGAGGAAAUGCAGAAUCUGAAUGACAGUACUUAUCUAGUGAAUUAGAAGUGGAGAUGACACCACAGGGCACACUUGCAGAGAGGAUCCGUGCAGGUGGGGCUGGAGUUCCUGCAUUUUAUACCCCCACAGGGUAUGGGACCUUAGUAAAAGGAGGAUCGCCCAUCAAAUACAACAAAGAUGGCAGUGUUGCCAUUGUCAGUAUGCCAAGAGAGGUGAGGGAGUUCAAUGGUCAGCACUUUUAUUUUGGAGGAUGCAAUUAGAGGGAAUUUUGCUUUGGUGAAAGCUUGGAAGGCAGACCAAGCAGGAAACGUGAUUUUCAGGAAAAGUGCAAGGAAUUUCAACUUGCCAACAUGUAAAGCUGCAGAAACCAUGGUGGUAGAGGUUGAAGAAAUUGUGGAUAUUGGAGCAUUUGCUCCAGAAGACAUCCAUAUUCCACAGAUGUAUGUACAUUGCCUUAUAAAGGGAGAAAAAUAUGAGAAAAGGAUUGACCGUUUAUCAAUCUGGAAAGAGGGAGAUGGAGAAGCCAAAUCUGCUAAACCUAGAGGUGACGUAAGGGAACGAAUCAUCAAGAGGGCCACUCUUGAGUUUGACGAUGGUAUGUAUGCUAAUUUGGGCAUAGGAAUCCCUCUCCUGGCCAGCAACUUUAUCAGCCCAAAUAUGACUGUUCAUCUUCAAAGUGAAAAUGGAGUUCUGGGUUUGGGUCCAUAUUCAUGACAAUAUGAAGCUGAUGAAGAUCUAAUCAAUGCAGACAAGGAAACAGUUACUGUUCUUCCAAGAGCCUCUUUUUUCUCCAGCGAUGAAUCAUUUGCAGUGAUUAGAGGGGGACAUGUCAAUCUGACAAUGCUAGGAGCGAUACAAGUUUCCAAAUAUGGUGACCUAGCCAACUGGAUGAUACCUGGGAAGUUGGUGAAAGGAAUGGGAGAUGCUAUGGAUUUAGUGUCCAGUGCCAAAACCAAAGUGGUGGUCACCAUGGAGCAUUCUGCAAAGGGAAAUGCACAUAAAAUCAUGGAGAAAUGUACAUUACCAUUGACUGGAAGGCAAUGUGUCAACCAGAUUAUUACUGAAAAGGCUAUGUUUGAUGUGGACAAGAAGAAAGGGCUGACUCUGAGCUCUGGGAAGGCCUGACAGUGGAUGACAUACAGAAGAGUACUGGGUAUGAUUUUACAGUUUCACCAAAACUCAUGCCAAUGCAGCGGAUCGCAAAUUAAAAUGUGGACAUUGGUACCAGGCUGCGUGUUUUUCAUUUUAAAAACACAGGAUUUAACUGAAAGGACCUCAAUGAUUAUAAUUGUGUAUUUAACAAGUGGUUUUUGAUUAGUUUUCUUCUAGUGUUUCAGGCUUUAUGCAGCCAUAUAAACUGUUCUCUAGGCAUGCUGUGACAUUUUAAUACAAAGAAAAAGGAGCAU